Molecule: unclassified non-coding RNA, 200 nt
Filed under: Rhizoplaca sp.
Lineage: Eukaryota; Fungi; Ascomycota; Lecanoromycetes; Lecanorales; Lecanoraceae
Description: partial internal transcribed spacer 2
Source: RNAcentral
UUAAGUUCAGCGGGUAUCCCUACCUGAUCCGAGGUCAAUCAUUGAAAAGUUUGGGCGUUGAUGGCCGGCCGCGGGGGGGCUUCCAAAGCGGGAGAUAAUUUACUACGCUCGAAGCCACACCGGACCGCCACUGACUUUCGGGUCGCCCCGGGGGGCGAGGACCCAAUACCAAGCUGAGCUUGAGGGGUGCAAUGACGCUC